GUAGUCUCGCACAGAUGCAUAUCAAUAAGCGGAGGAAAAGAAACUAACAAGGAUUCCCCUAGUAACGGCGAGUGAAGCGGGAAGAGCUCAAAUUUGAAAUCUUAAAGGGUUUCCCUUUACGAAUUGUAGUUUAAAGAAGUGUUUUCUGUUGAGGUUUUGGUAAAAGUUCUUUGGAAUAGGACAUCAUAGAGGGUGAGAAUCCCGUAUUUGACCUUUACUUUCAACUUUGUGAUACACUUUCAAAGAGUCGGAUUGUUUGGGAAUGCAGUCCAAAAUGGGUGGUAAAUUUCAUCUAAAGCUAAAUAUUGGCGAGAGACCGAUAGCGAACAAGUACCGUGAGGGAAAGAUGAAAAGAACUUUGAAAAGAGAGUUAAACAGUACGUGAAAUUGUCAAAAGGGAAGCGUUUGACACCAGUGUUGUUUUUCUGAAAAUCAAUUAAAGAACUGUUUAUGCUAAGCUGUUUAGACUUUAUCAGCUAUCUGUUUAGUUUUGAGCUUUUCUUUAAUGCACUUUUCAGUUAACAAGUCAACAUCAAUUUCUUUUGCUGUAAAAAAGCUUGAGGAAGGUGGCUUGAGAUUCGUCUUAAGUGUUUAUAGCCUCUUGCCUAUGCAGUCGGAGAGAUUGAGGUCUGCAGCGUAGAUCCUUCGGGGCUAAAUGCAUUUGUGCUAAGUUAUAGCAUUUUAUAGACAACUUGUUGACUAUGAUUUGUCUUGUAGCUUACUCGCUUAUGUUAUUUUACCUACGCUUAGGAUGUUGACAGCAGUAUAGACUGU
RNAcentral lists this ribosomal RNA (774 nucleotides) under uncultured Neocallimastigales. Its description in RNAcentral is "partial large subunit ribosomal RNA". It matches the Rfam family "Eukaryotic large subunit ribosomal RNA", at positions 24 to 634 of the family's 3401-position model. Lineage: Eukaryota; Fungi; Neocallimastigomycota; Neocallimastigomycetes; Neocallimastigales. The record is from RNAcentral.